This 273-nucleotide ribosomal RNA is filed under the name uncultured bacterium. Its description in RNAcentral is "partial 16S ribosomal RNA". It matches the Rfam family "Bacterial small subunit ribosomal RNA", at positions 524 to 796 of the family's 1533-position model. The record is from RNAcentral.
GACGAAGGGUGUAUGGGGUAAUCGGAAUUACUGGGCGUAAAGCGCGCGUAGGUGGUUCGUUAAGUUGGACGUGAAAGCCCCGGGCUCAACCUGGGAACUGCAUCCAAAACUGGCGAGCUAGAGCAUGGCAGAGGGUGGUGGAAUUUCCUGUGUAGCGGUGAAAUGCGUAGAUAUAGGAAGGAACACCAGUGGCGAAGGCGACCACCUGGGCUAAUACUGACACUGAGGUGCGAAAGCGUGGGGAGCAAACAGGAUUAGAUACCCGUGUAGUCC